GGUGAUAGAACUGGGGAGAUGCUUUGUAACCUGGGGAGAUGCUUCCUGGGAACAGAAACAGGAAUAGUGAACUAGCAAACUAGGAAUUUAAUCCACUGCCAGAAUGGAAGUCUUCACACACAGUAUGGGUCACCAAAGAGCAAGAAGAUACUAUCAGACCUGAUGGAGAAAGCUGUACAUCAAACAAACAAGUUGGACUCAGAGGGAAAUGCAGUCAUGAAGAAGAACAAGUACCUUCUCCCUUGGAAAAGUGUUAGGCGUGGCCCUGUGAAACAGGUGGUCCCUAACACUUACGGGGAAGUCUGCUGUGCUGCAAGGCUUCCAGGAAGACUUUCAGCUUCCCAGAAAAAUGAAGAGAUGUUCUAGGAAAGCUUUUGGUUUCCUGGUAAAAUGAAGAGAUGCUGCUGUCAAUCUAUGCUCCUUCACAGUGCCUCAAAUAGAAAGGGCUCCAGAAGACCUAACCAGUCAAGUAUCUAUGGGACUCACUAGACAGCAGCCAAAUGUAAACAGACAUAUAAACACACUGAAACAGAAGAAAAUAAGGGAACUGUGGAAUUGUUCAAAAAAUGAAGAAUUCCCACAGGGAUGGCUCAGUCCGUUAAGCGUAUGCCUUCGGCUCAGGUCAUGACCUCAGGGUCCUGGGA
Canis lupus familiaris (dog) is the source of this 644-nucleotide long non-coding RNA. RefSeq lists it as uncharacterized. The record is from RefSeq and is a predicted model, not a curated record. The transcript has 4 exons. Lineage: Eukaryota; Metazoa; Chordata; Mammalia; Carnivora; Canidae.